This 459-nucleotide ribosomal RNA is filed under the name uncultured bacterium. RNAcentral describes it as "partial 16S ribosomal RNA". It matches the Rfam family "Bacterial small subunit ribosomal RNA", at positions 338 to 795 of the family's 1533-position model. The record is from RNAcentral.
ACUACGGGUGGCAGCAGUGAGGAAUAUUGGUCAAUGGGCGGAAGCCUGAACCAGCCAAGUAGCGUGCGGGAUGAAGGCCCUACGGGUCGUAAACCGCUUUUGCACGGGGAUAACACCCUCCACUUGUGGAGGUCUGCAGGUACCGUGCGAAGAAGGGCCGGCUAAUUCCGUGCCAGCAGCCGCGGUAAUACGGAAGGCCCGAGCUUUAUCCGGAUUUAUUGGGUUUAACGGGUGCGCAGGCGGGUUGUUAAGCCGGCGGUAAAAAUUCAGGGCUCAACCCUGUCGAGCCGUCGGAACUGGCAGUCUUGAUUGGGCGAGAAGUAUGCGGAAUGCGUGGUGUAGCGGUGACAUGCAUAGAUAUCACGCAGAACGCCGAUUGCGAAGGCAGCAUACCGGCGCCCAACUGACGCUGAGGCACGAAAGCGUGGGGAUCGAACAGGAUUAGAUACCCGAGUAGUC